CAAUCCUGCGAGCGAUCAACCUCGAGUUCGAAUCUCCGUGUUUCCGACCCACCUCUCAGCCGGUCGCGUUCUUGUCCGGAUCGCGAAGAUCGGGUCCCGGAACGAGAGCUCUCCGUCGCGGAUAGACAGCAGCAGUGUGCGCUGGUACUGGCUUGAUUUUGAAGCUGGACUUUGCUGGACGAGGAAAUUUUGGAUUCUGGGAACCAGUUGUUUUGAUAGAGCAGCAGCGAUGCCUGACUGUUGUAGAACAAAGGCUUGAGGAAAUUUGGUGGAUUGCGUUUAUCUUUAGAAUACAUAGUUAUGUCACUUGAAACUACGUAUAUUUAUAUAAAUCUGUAGAUAAGAAGCUAGUAUUGCAAAUUGUUGAAUGGAAAAUUUGUUACUAUGCUGCUUGAUUCAUACUUUAAUGUACAACAUUUAUAAACAGAAUCAAAAGUUUAUGUUUGUAUGUGUAGUAUGCUCUAAAUUGAGCAAUAUUACUACAAAUGUUGGAAUAUUUGAGAUUGGAUAUUCUCAUAUUUUUUCAUGCUUUCAGUUUAAUUUUCGUACAAUACACCAUUUGUCAUUUUUUUUGACAUAGUCACUGAAUUUUCUAUUGUAAUCCUCAUUCAAUGAUUCGCUAAUUUUGUGUGCAAUAAAUACUUAUUAUAAAUCCUUA
This is a long non-coding RNA of Nasonia vitripennis (jewel wasp), 658 nucleotides long. RefSeq lists it as uncharacterized. The transcript has 2 exons. The record is from RefSeq and is a predicted model, not a curated record. Lineage: Eukaryota; Metazoa; Arthropoda; Insecta; Hymenoptera; Pteromalidae.